This 234-nucleotide long non-coding RNA is filed under the name Nicotiana benthamiana. RNAcentral describes it as "long non-coding RNA (NBEN_LNC002906)". The record is from RNAcentral. Lineage: Eukaryota; Viridiplantae; Streptophyta; Magnoliopsida; Solanales; Solanaceae.
GGGUGAAGGGGGUGGCUCAAUAUUCACGGAUUUCACAAAAAGAAUGUUGUUAGGGCUUUCCUAGAUCUAAAAUUCGUAAAUUUUGAGGGAGUUUUGAAGGAUUUUGUUUGAAGAUAUGGAAGAGGAGGUUGAGAGGAACAAGGGGUGAAGUUUUAUGGUGGUUUGAAGAUGCCAGCGGGCAGCGCCACCGUGGGAAGAGGCGGCGGCGGUUGGGGAGAAGAAGAGAGGAGAAGG